This 116-nucleotide ribosomal RNA is filed under the name Calidifontibacillus erzurumensis. Lineage: Bacteria; Bacillati; Bacillota; Bacilli; Caryophanales; Bacillaceae. The record is from RNAcentral.
CUUGGUGGCGAUGGCGAAGAGGAUACACCCGUUCCCAUUCCGAACACGGAAGUUAAGCUCUUCAGCGCCGAUGGUAGUUGGGGGCUUCCCCCUGCGAGAGUAGGACGUUGCCAAGC